Molecule: ribosomal RNA, 439 nt
Filed under: uncultured bacterium
Lineage: Bacteria
Description: partial 16S ribosomal RNA
Rfam family: Bacterial small subunit ribosomal RNA
Source: RNAcentral
CUACGGGGUGCAGCAGUGGGGAAUAUUGGACAAUGGGCGAAAGCCUGAUCCAGCAAUGCCGCGUGUGUGAAGAAGGCCUGCGGGUUGUAAAGCACUUUCGGUAGGGAAGAUAAUGACGGUACCUACAGAAGAAGCACCGGCUAACUCCGUGCCAGCAGCCGCGGUAAUACGGAGGGUGCAAGCGUUAAUCGGAAUUACUGGGCGUAAAGCGCGCGUAGGCGGUUCGUUAAGUCGGGUGUGAAAUCCCUGGGCUCAACCUAGGAAUUGCAUUCGAUACUGGCAGGCUAGAGUGUGGUAGAGGGAAGUGGAAUUCCAGGUGUAGCGGUGAAAUGCGUAGAUAUCUGGAGGAACAUCAGUGGCGAAGGCGACUUCCUGGACCAACACUGACGCUGAGGCGCGAAAGCGUGGGGAGCAAACAGGAUUAGAUACCCCAGUAGUC